AGUGACAGAGUGAGGGAGGGUGUGACUAGUGACAGUUAGGCAGGGAAGGGGUGACUAGUGACAGAGGGAGGGGUGACUAGGGACAGAAUGAGGGAGGUUGUGACUAGUGACAGUCACCACCUCCCUCACUCUGUCACUAGUCACCACCUCCCUCCGUCACUGUGUCACCCCCUCCCUCACUCUGUCACCAGUCAUCCCCUUACUCUGUCACUAGUCACCCCUCCCUCACUCUGCCACUAGUCACCCCUUCCCUCACUCCCUCACUCUGUCACUAGUCACCCCCUCACUCUAGUGACAGAGAG
RNAcentral lists this small RNA (302 nucleotides) under Pelobates cultripes (western spadefoot toad). The record is from RNAcentral. Lineage: Eukaryota; Metazoa; Chordata; Amphibia; Anura; Pelobatidae.